This 429-nucleotide ribosomal RNA is filed under the name uncultured bacterium. Its description in RNAcentral is "bacterial SSU rRNA". It matches the Rfam family "Bacterial small subunit ribosomal RNA", at positions 355 to 776 of the family's 1533-position model. The record is from RNAcentral.
UGGGGAAUAUUGGACAAUGGGCGCAAGCCUGAUCCAGCAAUGUCGCGUGUGUGAAGAAGGCCCUCGGGUUGUAAAGCACUUUCAGCGGGGAAGAAAAGUUCAAGGUUAAUAACCUUGGGCCAUGACAUUACCCGCAGAAGAAGCACUGGCUAACUCUGUGCCAGCAGCCGCGGUAAUACAGAGAGUGCGAGCGUUAAUCGGAAUUACUGGGCGUAAAGCGCGCGUAGGUGGAUAUUUAAGUCGGAUGUGAAAGCCCUGAGCUCAACUUGGGAACUGCAUCCGAUACUGGGUAUCUAGAGUAUGGUAGAGGGAAGUGGAAUUUCCGGUGUAGCGGUGAAAUGCGUAGAUAUCGGAAGGAACACCAGUGGCGAAGGCGGCUUCCUGGACCAAUACUGACACUGAGGCGCGAAAGCGUGGGGAGCAAACAGG